This is a long non-coding RNA of Alosa alosa (allis shad), 561 nucleotides long. RefSeq lists it as uncharacterized. The transcript has 3 exons. Lineage: Eukaryota; Metazoa; Chordata; Actinopteri; Clupeiformes; Clupeidae. The record is from RefSeq and is a predicted model, not a curated record.
AGUCAACACCACACAGGCAACCAGCUCAUUGCCCAGAGCUGGAUGGGUCUAUUAUAACGCCUGCCACUUCAUCUUGGGACCCAGUUGAAGCACAAGUGACUCAUCACACAGAGGGAGGUGGCUUGGCCAUGGAGACGGAAAUAAGAGCAAUAAGGACAACCAUUACCGCAUGGCACAGCGAAUGGACGCAUUUGAGGAGAAGAUGGAUGAGCUGCUCAUGCUCUUAAGGAGCUCCCAGUCACCUCCCUCUGCUCCAGUCGAUGACAUAUUGCUGUUGUCCUGCUCGACAGUCACUGAGCUGCAGGAGAGGAGGAACAAAAUGCCCUCCCUCCAGGACUUGUACUCUGGGACCUAAGCGGGCAGAGACCAUCACCAAAGACUCCACAUAUCCUGCACACACACUCUUUAACUUCCUCCCCUCUGGCAGGCGCUACAGAUCCCUGCACACAAAAACAACCAGACACAAGAACAACUAUUUUCCCACUGCCGUCACUCUCCUGAACUGCAGAUAAGUGGGGUCAUCCCCACUUUGACCGUUCACCUGCACAUUACAUACUUUAU